Alosa alosa (allis shad) is the source of this 880-nucleotide long non-coding RNA. RefSeq lists it as uncharacterized. Lineage: Eukaryota; Metazoa; Chordata; Actinopteri; Clupeiformes; Clupeidae. The transcript has 2 exons. The record is from RefSeq and is a predicted model, not a curated record.
UUCUUCAACCCAACAAAGUACAAAUUACAAAAUACUAUUUUGUAUUUGAAAUAAAUAUUUUAGACACAACAUGUAUUAUUAACACUGCCCAAACCUGCACGUAGUACCAAUCCAGACCCUCCAGACUGCAGUGUGAAGAUUUCCCUUAUCUCAUGAAUUCAGGCCUGACACCAUGAGAUAAAGGAACGCCUCAGCCAUAACUGAUAAGCCAUAAUUGGCUUGCCUUUUCAGCAGCCUCAGACAAAAAAUACGCUCUAACAUUAGUUUAUUUACCCAACAAAACCCGGACACAGUAUAGCCUGAAAACCUUACUGUCUGGGUCAACAACAUGGUGGACCAGGUGCAUACUGCAUAUGUAGCGGGUUGAAAUAGCGCACCUGUGCCUUUAAGGCUGUUCAUUAGUAAAUCAGUGGAUACAGCUGGUUGGUUUCUUUAUAAUUUGACUUGCACCAUGGGUCAGGUAUGCAGUAGAGGAGUAGGGGGUGCUGCAGGGGAGGCUGGUCACCUGGUGUUGGUGGGAGUCUUUAGUUUGUAGUGCAUGUGUGGCUUCACUGUGUGUGUUUCCAGUACUGUUCACCUGUGUGGGUUGCGGUGGUUGCGGUCUCCUAUAUCCACGUGUGAUCCUGACAUCCCUCUCUUCAGGAUAGCCUGCCUCCCUAUGGUAAACCUGGUUCCCGUCUAAUUAAUUGUCCUGUCUUGUUUUGUUACCUUCCCACUCUAUGGGGCACAAAAUUGUUGUACAUUUUUUUUAAAUAAUGAAUUAAUAUGUUCUUAGUCUUGUUACAGCUCUUUCCUUCCAGUCUAGGUUUCUCUUGAUAGUGUCCCAGUCUCUACUUCCAUUUGCCUCCAUGGACGAAUACAACUUACCUGAUGUGUUUAA